This 342-nucleotide ribosomal RNA is filed under the name Glaesserella parasuis. RNAcentral describes it as "partial 23S ribosomal RNA". It matches the Rfam family "Bacterial large subunit ribosomal RNA", at positions 1371 to 1714 of the family's 2925-position model. Lineage: Bacteria; Pseudomonadati; Pseudomonadota; Gammaproteobacteria; Pasteurellales; Pasteurellaceae. The record is from RNAcentral.
GGGGCAGGGUGAGUCGGCCCCUAAGGCGAGGCUGAAAAGCGUAGUCGAUGGGAAACGGGUUAAUAUUCCCGUACUUGUCUUCAUUGCGAUGUGGGGACGGAGAAGGUUAGGUUAGCAGACUGUUGGAUGUCUGUUUAAGUUGGUAGGUGGGGAGCUUAGGCAAAUCCGGGCUCCUAUUAACACUGAGAGAUGAUGACGAGUUUCUACGGAAAUGAAGUAACUGAUACCACGCUUCCAGGAAAAGCCACUAAGCUUCAGAUAAAGAUAAACCGUACUGAAAACCGACACAGGUGGUCAGGUAGAGAAUACUCAGGCGCUUGAGAGAACUCGGGUGAAGGAACU